AUGGACCGGUCAAAAGACCUGUCGGUGCUGCCCCCACUCCCCACUCUCUCUGCUCUUUCGCUCACUCCUCCUCUGUCUUGCUCCUCUGCUUUGCUCGCCGCACCCGCCGCCGCGUCGCCGCGCCCCCGCCGCGUCGCCAUGGUGUCCUGGAGCGAUGAGUCCGAUAGCAGCGAGCACACCGUGGAGUACGUCAGCUCAGGUUCUGACGACGGCAGAAUUAAGAUCCCUGCUACCACUGAAGACUCCGAUUUCGAGGGACUUGAAACGGAGUCGCUUGUUCUCUGCAAUGAACAUCAGAAGCCUGCAGAAAGGCGUGUUGCUUUCGAAGGAAUCCACACUGGCAGGAGGUUUCUUUGCUGUGCUGAGAAGGAAGGUGGAACUGUGGAUUAG
Molecule: ribosomal RNA, 390 nt
Filed under: Triticum aestivum (bread wheat)
Lineage: Eukaryota; Viridiplantae; Streptophyta; Magnoliopsida; Poales; Poaceae
Description: partial small subunit ribosomal RNA
Source: RNAcentral